UACGUAGGGAGCAAGCGUUGUCCGGAAUCAUUGGGCGUAAAGCGCGCGUAGGUGGCCUCAUAAGUCCGCUGUGAAAGUCAAAGGCUCAACCUUUGAAAGCCGGUGGAUACUGUGAGGCUAGAGUACGGAAGAGGCGAGUGGAAUUCCUGGUGUAGCGGUGAAAUGCGCAGAUAUCAGGAGGAACACCAAUGGCGAAGGCAGCACUCUGGGACGUGACUGACGCUGAGACGCGAAAGCGUGGGGAGCAAACAGG
RNAcentral lists this ribosomal RNA (253 nucleotides) under uncultured bacterium. Its description in RNAcentral is "partial 16S ribosomal RNA". It matches the Rfam family "Bacterial small subunit ribosomal RNA", at positions 524 to 776 of the family's 1533-position model. The record is from RNAcentral.